GACGAACGCUGGCGGCGUGCUUAACACAUGCAAGUCGAACGGAAAGGCCCUGCUUUUGUGUGGUGCUCGAGUGGCGAACGGGUGAGUAACACGUGAGUAACCUGCCCUUUACUUUGGGAUAACUUCAGGAAACUGGUGCUAAUACCGGAUAGGAGCUCCUGCUGCAUGGUGGUGGUUGGAAAGUUUCGGCGGUUGGGGAUGGACUCGCGGCUUAUCAGCUUGUUGGUGGGGUAGUGGCUUACCAAGGCUUUGACGGGUAGCCGGCCUGAGAGGGUGACCGGCCACAUUGGGACUGAGAUACGGCCCAGACUCCUACGGGAGGCAGCAGUGGGGAAUAUUGCACAAUGGGCGGAAGCCUGAUGCAGCAACGCCGCGUGCGGGAUGACGGCCUUCGGGUUGUAAACCGCUUUCGCCUGUGACGAAGCGUGAGUGACGGUAAUGGGUAAAGAAGCACCGGCUAACUACGUG
This 468-nucleotide ribosomal RNA is filed under the name uncultured bacterium. RNAcentral's name for it is "partial 16S ribosomal RNA". It matches the Rfam family "Bacterial small subunit ribosomal RNA", at positions 28 to 507 of the family's 1533-position model. The record is from RNAcentral.